AGCCUAAAAAAGACUGUCUUUUCUGGCAAGCCCUUCAUGAGAUAAGAACAUUGUCCUUUUGUUCUGAAUUUGGCUGCACUGCUUUCUCCCUGUUUUUUCUUGCUGGAACUUUGGACUUUUACCUUACCUCUCCAAAGUCAUGGGGCUUUCCAGAUUUUCCAAUUCUUUGUUUGAGAUGCCAAUAAUCUGGACAUCCUCUACCAGUACACAUUUGGCGAGUCAGCCAGGAGGAGAGACCCUCAAGCUUCAGAUGAUCAUGCAACAAACAUUCCAGCCAGUUCCUGGUGAAGACACCACCCCUGGCCAUCAAGAAACUACCCUGCCUCCACUAGACAGAGAAAGGCAAGAGUUCCAUGAUCCCCAGUAGGUAGGGACUACGCCCCAAGCCAGCAUGAAGCAGUUACAGAAGAAAGAUCCUCAGUCCCUCCACCUCCCAUAAAGAUUUAUAGGAAUUACAUUUCUCAGGGAGAAAAUGAGGCAGGAAAACAUGAUCUGGAGGAAUGGAACAUGAGGCCAAUUCACAUUUCAGCUAUGACAGGAAAUAUUAUCUUUAUUUACAUAGGGCUUACACAAAGUAAACAACGGAAAACUCUAGAGCGUAUUUAACCCCCUCAAAUUCUGUAACAGAACCUUGAGUCCCUAUGCUUGGGCCCACUCCCACGCUGCGGAGUAUAUUUCAUUUUCAGUAAAUCUCUGCUGUUGUUGCUU
This is a long non-coding RNA of Sapajus apella (tufted capuchin), 708 nucleotides long. RefSeq lists it as uncharacterized. The transcript is spliced from 3 exons. The record is from RefSeq and is a predicted model, not a curated record. NCBI's taxonomy places the organism in Eukaryota, Metazoa, Chordata, Mammalia, Primates, Cebidae.